UGGGAUUGGCAUCCACUCGCGUGGUAGCGGCCCUCUGUACCCCCCAUUGUAACACGUGUGUAGCCCCGGACGUAAGGGCCGUGCUGAUUUGACGUCAUCCCCACCUUCCUCACAUCUUACGAUGGCAGUCUUGUCAGAGUCCUCAGCAGAACCUGUUAGUAACUGACAACAAGGGUUGCGCUCGUUAUGGCACUUAAGCCGACACCUCACGGCACGAGCUGACGACAACCAUGCAGCACCUUCACAGAUGCCUUGCGGCUUACGGCUUUCACCGUAAUUCAUCUGCAAUUUAAGCCCGGGUAAGGUUCCUCGCGUAUCAUCGAAUUAAACCACAUGUUCCUCCGCUUGUGCGGGCCCCCGUCAAUUCCUUUGAGUUUCACCGUUGCCGGCGUACUCCCCAGGUGGAAUACUUAACGCUUUCGCUUGGCCGCUUGCUGUAUAUCGCAAACAGCGAGUAUUCAUCGUUUACCGUGUGGACUACCAGGGUAUCUAAUCCUGUUUGAUACCCACACUUUCGAGCCUCAAUGUCAGUUGCAGCUUAGCAGGCUGCCUUCGCAAUCGGAGUUCUUCGUGAUAUCUAAGCAUUUCACCGCUACACCACGAAUUCCGCCUGCCUCAACUGCGACUCAAGAUAUCCAGUAUCAACUGCAAUUUUACGGUUGAGCCGCAAACUUUCACAACUGACUUAAACAUCCAUCUACGCUCCCUUUAAACCCAAUAAAUCCGGAUAACGCUCGGAUCCUCCGUAUUACCGCGGCUGCUGGCACGGAGUUAGCCGAUCCUUAUUCAUAAAGUACAUGCAAACGGGUAUGCAUACCCGACUUUAUUCCUUUAUAAAAGAAGUUUACAACCCAUAGGGCAGUCAUCCUUCACGCUACUUGGCUGGUUCAGGCUCUCGCCCAUUGACCAAUAUUCCUCACUGCUGCCUCCCGUAGGAGUUUGGACCGUGUCUCAGUUCCAAUGUGGGGGACCUUCCUCUCAGAACCCCUAUCCAUCGAAGACUAGGUGGGCCGUUACCCCGCCUACUAUCUAAUGGAACGCAUCCCCAUCGUCUACCGGAAUACCUUUAAUCAUGUGAACAUGCGGACUCAUGAUGCCAUCUUGUAUUAAUCU
RNAcentral lists this ribosomal RNA (1113 nucleotides) under Phocaeicola vulgatus. Its description in RNAcentral is "partial 16S ribosomal RNA". The record is from RNAcentral. Lineage: Bacteria; Pseudomonadati; Bacteroidota; Bacteroidia; Bacteroidales; Bacteroidaceae.